AGAUUGUGGAGUACAAAGAUGUCCAAGCCUGCUUCUCGUAGCUCUCAGCUGCUGCUGUCGGAUCAGAAGUGUGCUAAAUGUCUGUUGGAGACGUAUGUCAAGCGGAGCCUCAGCCUGAAUGAAGGAUGCAGGAAACAUCAGCUAAAUAAACACAAAUGGCUUAAACCAGACAGGCAGUCCAGACGGGCGUCCAGUGACACCUCCACCCAGCGUUUGAGAGUAGAGAGGCUCCUGAAGACCAGCGAGUGCCCUGAAUGCACAACACCAGAACUUGUCACUAGGAGAAAGAGCACCAAAGCACCAAACAGAACCAAAUCAUUCUUCAGAGGCUUUCUCCACCUCUUCUCUAAGAAGAAGACCGAGCCCAAAGUGAAAGAUGAGCGAGUUACAGAAACAGACUCUGGACAACAUAUGAUAGAACGGGGGCUUCGCUCUUCUCAGAAAGGAUCUUCUUUAGCAAUCAAAAUGAUGAGAAAAGAGAGUCCCUGCAAAAGGACUCCUCUCGUGUUCGUGGAGGCGUGGAGGGGCUUUCAGACGUGA
Molecule: long non-coding RNA, 540 nt
Organism: Cyprinus carpio carpio
Lineage: Eukaryota; Metazoa; Chordata; Actinopteri; Cypriniformes; Cyprinidae
Source: Ensembl